AUACGAAGGGGGCUAGCGUUGUGCGGAAUUACUGGGCGUAAAGCGCGCGUAGGCGGACUGAUCAGUUGGGGGUGAAAUCCCAGGGCUUAACCCUGGAACUGCCUCCAAUACUGUCAGUCUUGAGUUCGGGAGAGGUGAGUGGAAUUCCUAGUGUAGAGGUGAAAUUCGUAGAUAUUAGGAAGAACACCAGUGGCGAAGGCGGCUCACUGGCCCGAUACUGACGCUGAGGCGCGAAAGCGUGGGGAGCAAACAGGAUUAGAAACCCCAGUAGUCC
This 274-nucleotide ribosomal RNA is filed under the name uncultured bacterium. RNAcentral's name for it is "partial 16S ribosomal RNA". It matches the Rfam family "Bacterial small subunit ribosomal RNA", at positions 523 to 796 of the family's 1533-position model. The record is from RNAcentral.